RNAcentral lists this long non-coding RNA (837 nucleotides) under Mytilus galloprovincialis (Mediterranean mussel). The record is from RNAcentral. Lineage: Eukaryota; Metazoa; Mollusca; Bivalvia; Mytilida; Mytilidae.
CUUUUUUCUGUGUAUAUUUUGCAUAUAUUGCUAAAGAUUAAAACUUAAAAAUCUUCUGUUGCCCUGCUGUCUACAUGUAACAUCAUUUUUGAAUAAUUUUGGUGGGAAGAGCCUUUCAAGGGCAAAAAACGAAUAUCCAAAUUGGCAUAUACCACGACAUAGAGGGAAAUUUAAGGCAUAUUCACUAGCAGUGGUGAAAAACAGGCAUUUCUCUGUUGAAUUGUGGAAAAAUGUUUAAAUUAUGCGAAAAAUACACUGGCAACCAACCAAUCAAAAUCCAGCAUUCUUAUAUAAGGUGUAAUUAAAGUUAAUAGCUAACAACGACAGACAUCAGUUGAUGGAUGCCAAUGACCAGCAUGGCACAAUGGAGCUAAAAUAAAAGGAAAUAAAUAUUCAAAAUAAAAAGAAAUGUUUAUUUAAUGAUAUGCUUUUUAUUAUUCACAUUUAAGUACAUGUAUUGUGAAAAAUCAUGAAUUAUUGUUACACAACAAUAGAUUUGAAAUAAAGUACAUUUGUAUAUUCAAUGCAGUACAAAUUGUGUUACGGUACUUAAAAAAUGCAUGUCGGCUUAACUAUAAAAGGGAUGUUUGCUGGUUGUAGUUUCAAAAUUACCAUAAAACAAAUUAUAAUUCCCAAAAAUCAUCAGUUUCCAUUUUAAAAUUUAGUUUAAAGUCAAAGUUGACUUUUUUUCAUCUAAAGUUUCAAUAGAGUGACUUUAUACCAACUCAGAAAACUUACUUUCAAGCUAUAAAGCUGCAAAUUUAUGAAUAUGAUAGAAUUAAAUUACUAUUAUUUUAACAUUAAGUAGAUGUUAUUAUAAUUAUGAGUGAACAUGAU